AAGAUACUAGUAAAAUUAAUUACAUUGCUUUGUCAAGGCAAAAUCGUGGGUGAAACCCCUGCGUAUCUUA
This 70-nucleotide transfer RNA is filed under the name Aplocheilus lineatus (striped panchax). Its description in RNAcentral is "tRNA-Asp". It matches the Rfam family "tRNA". From Rfam's summary of the family: Transfer RNA (tRNA) molecules are approximately 80 nucleotides in length. Their secondary structure includes four short double-helical elements and three loops (D, anti-codon, and T loops). The record is from RNAcentral. Lineage: Eukaryota; Metazoa; Chordata; Actinopteri; Cyprinodontiformes; Aplocheilidae.